AGUGAACGCUGGCGGUAGGCCUAACACAUGCAAGUCGAACGGCAGCACAGUAAGAGCUUGCUCUUACGGGUGGCGAGUGGCGGACGGGUGAGGAAUACAUCGGAAUCUACUUUUUCGUGGGGGAUAACGUAGGGAAACUUACGCUAAUACCGCAUACGACCUACGGGUGAAAGCAGGGGAUCUUCGGACCUUGCGCGAUUGAAUGAGCCGAUGUCGGAUUAGCUAGUUGGCGGGGUAAAGGCCCACCAAGGCGACGAUCCGUAGCUGGUCUGAGAGGAUGAUCAGCCACACAGGAACUGAGACACGGUCCAGACUCCUACGGGAGGCAGCAGUGGGGAAUAUUGGACAAAGGGCGCAAGCCUGAUCCAGCCAUACCGUGUGGGUGAAGAAGGCCUUCGGGUUGUAAAGCCCUUUUGUUGGGAAAGAAAAGCAGCAGGUUAAUACCCCGCUGUUCUGACGGUACCCAAAGAAUAAGCACCGGCUAACUUCGUG
RNAcentral lists this ribosomal RNA (492 nucleotides) under uncultured bacterium. RNAcentral describes it as "partial 16S ribosomal RNA". It matches the Rfam family "Bacterial small subunit ribosomal RNA", at positions 29 to 507 of the family's 1533-position model. The record is from RNAcentral.